Molecule: ribosomal RNA, 377 nt
Filed under: Nectophrynoides asperginis (Kihansi spray toad)
Lineage: Eukaryota; Metazoa; Chordata; Amphibia; Anura; Bufonidae
Description: partial 12S ribosomal RNA
Rfam family: Bacterial small subunit ribosomal RNA
Source: RNAcentral
GCCCAGCCGUAAACUUUUAAUUACAUCCAAACCACCUGGGAACUACGAGCCAAGCUUAAAACCCAAAGGACUUGACGGUACCCCACAUCCUCCUAGAGGAGCCUGUCCUACAAUCGAUAAUCCACGUUUAACCUCACCAUUUUUAGUUAAUCAGCCUGUAUACCUCCGUCGUCAGCUUACCACGUGAGCGUUAAUUAGUGAGCUCAAUGUAUUUCACCAAAACGUCAGGUCAAGGUGCAGUAAAUAAAAUGGAAAGAGAUGGGCUACACUUUCUAUUUUAGAAAAAACGAAAAACUACUUAUGAAAUUUAGUUGGAAGGCGGAUUUAGUAGUAAAAAGGAAUCAGCAUGUCCAUUUUAACCCGGCACUGGGGUGUGU